UCGGGAAUUUUGGGCAAUGGGCGAAAGCCUGACCCAGCAACGCCGCGUGAAGGAUGAAGUAUUUCGGUAUGUAAACUUCGUAAGAAUAGGAAGAAUAAAUGACGGUACUAUUUGUAAGGUCCGGCUAACUACGUGCCAGCAGCCGCGGUAAUACGUAGGGACCAAGCGUUGUUCGGAUUUACUGGGCGUAAAGGGCGCGUAGGCGGUUUGUCAAGUCAGUUGUGAAAUCUCCGAGCUUAACUCGGAACGGUCAACUGAUACUGUCAAACUAGAGUACAGAAGGGGCAAUCGGAAUUCUUGGUGUAGCGGUGAAAUGCGUAGAUAUCAAGAGGAACACCUGAGGCGAAGGCGGGUUGCUGGGCUGAUACUGACGCUGAAGCGCGAAAGCUAGGGUAGCAAACGGGAUUAGAUACCCUAGUAGUCCCUGAGCGGGCUGGCAAGGCGCAU
This 447-nucleotide ribosomal RNA is filed under the name uncultured bacterium. RNAcentral describes it as "bacterial SSU rRNA". It matches the Rfam family "Bacterial small subunit ribosomal RNA", at positions 355 to 825 of the family's 1533-position model. The record is from RNAcentral.